UGGCGGCAGGCCUAACACAUGCAAGUCGAGCGCAGUCCUUCGGGACCGAGCGGCGGACGGGUUAGUAACGCGUGGGAACAUACCCUUUUCUACGGAAUAGCCUCGGGAAACUGAGAGUAAUACCGUAUAAGCCCUUCGGGGGAAAGAUUUAUCGGGAAAGGAUUGGCCCGCGUUAGAUUAGAUAGUUGGUGGGGUAAUGGCCUACCAAGUCUACGAUCUAUAGCUGGUUUUAGAGGAUGAUCAGCAACACUGGGACUGAGACACGGCCCAGACUCCUACGGGAGGCAGCAGUGGGGAAUCUUAGACAAUGGGCGCAAGCCUGAUCUAGCCAUGCCGCGUGUGUGAUGAAGGUCUUAGGAUCGUAAAGCACUUUCGCCAGGGAUGAUAAUGACAGUACCUGGUAAAGAAACCCCGGCUAACUCCGUGCCAGCAGCCGCGGUAAUACGGAGGGGGUUAGCGUUGUUCGGAAUUACUGGGCGUAAAGCGUACGUAGGCGGAUCAGAAAGUAGGGGGUGAAAUCCCAGGGCUCAACCCUGGAACUGCCUCCUAAACUCCUGGUCUUGAGUUCGAGAGAGGUGAGUGGAAUUCCAAGUGUAGAGGUGAAAUUCGUAGAUAUUUGGAGGAACACCAGUGGCGAAGGCGGCUCACUGGCUCGAUACUGACGCUGAGGUACGAAAGUGUGGGGAGCAAACAGGAUUAGAUACCCUGGUAGUCCACACCGUAAACGAUGAAUGCCAGUCGUCGGGCAGUAUACUGUUCGGUGACACACCUAACGGAUUAAGCAUCCGC
This 789-nucleotide ribosomal RNA is filed under the name uncultured Sulfitobacter sp. Its description in RNAcentral is "bacterial SSU rRNA". It matches the Rfam family "Bacterial small subunit ribosomal RNA", at positions 37 to 872 of the family's 1533-position model. The record is from RNAcentral. Lineage: Bacteria; Pseudomonadati; Pseudomonadota; Alphaproteobacteria; Rhodobacterales; Roseobacteraceae.